This 74-nucleotide transfer RNA is filed under the name Lactobacillus helveticus. RNAcentral describes it as "tRNA-Pro (CGG) (tRNA-Pro-CGG-1-1)". It matches the Rfam family "tRNA". From Rfam's summary of the family: Transfer RNA (tRNA) molecules are approximately 80 nucleotides in length. Their secondary structure includes four short double-helical elements and three loops (D, anti-codon, and T loops). The record is from RNAcentral. RNAcentral also lists the same sequence under 10 other names. Lineage: Bacteria; Bacillati; Bacillota; Bacilli; Lactobacillales; Lactobacillaceae.
CGGGAAAUGGCUCAGUUUGGUAGAGCGCUGCGUUCGGGACGCAGAGGCCGCAAGUUCAAAUCUUGUUUUCCCGA